AACGAACGCUGGCGGCGUGUUUAAGACAUGCAAGUCGCACGGGAUAAGACAUGUAGUAAUACUUGUUUUAUUUAGUGGCGCACGGGUGAGUAACACGUGAAUUACAUGCCCUAUAGUGGGGAAUAGCCAAGGGAAACUUGGAUUAAUACCCCAUGGUAUCGCAAGAUUAAAGGUGGCCGCAAGGCUGUCGCUAUAGGAUUGGUUCGCGCCCUAUCAGCUUGUUGGUGAGGUAACGGCUCACCAAGGCAAUGACGGGUACCUGGUCUGAGAGGACGAUCAGGCACACUGGAACUGAGACACGGUCCAGACACCUACGGGUGGCAGCAGUCGAGAAUAAUUCACAAUGGGGGCAACCCUGAUGGUGCAACGCCGCGUGAAGGAUGACGGUCUUCGGAUUGUAAACUCCUGUCAUCUGGGAGAAAGACCUGACGGUAAAUAGCCGGCAGGGUUGAUAGUACCAGAAGAGGAAGGGACGGCUAACUUCGUGCCAGCCGCCGCAGUAA
This 503-nucleotide ribosomal RNA is filed under the name uncultured bacterium. Its description in RNAcentral is "partial 16S ribosomal RNA". It matches the Rfam family "Bacterial small subunit ribosomal RNA", at positions 29 to 523 of the family's 1533-position model. The record is from RNAcentral.